GGAGAUAUAGCUCAGUUGGUAGAGUGCUUGCCUUGCAUGCACAAGGCCCUGGGUUCAAUCCCCAGCAUCACCA
This 73-nucleotide transfer RNA is filed under the name Ictidomys tridecemlineatus (thirteen-lined ground squirrel). RNAcentral's name for it is "Spermophilus tridecemlineatus (thirteen-lined ground squirrel) tRNA". It matches the Rfam family "tRNA". From Rfam's summary of the family: Transfer RNA (tRNA) molecules are approximately 80 nucleotides in length. Their secondary structure includes four short double-helical elements and three loops (D, anti-codon, and T loops). Lineage: Eukaryota; Metazoa; Chordata; Mammalia; Rodentia; Sciuridae. The record is from Rfam by way of RNAcentral.